GACAGGAGGAUUUGGUUGUUCCAGAAAGGCAUGGAAUGGAGUCUACGAAUGAGGGGCCCUCUGGGUUCAGAGCAUGCACAGCUAUUUUAGAACUAUUUCAUGCCAAAGCUUUUUCUGGAUGUUGGGCCAGGACUGGGUGUACAUAUAAAAGUCUUUAGGUGGAUGGGCAGAAGAGGUGGAAAUGUCGGGAAAGAGCCAAAAGAAGUCCACCAACUGUAGUCCCUACCAGAGUUUGCUAGCAGCCAAAGCUGGUCAGCCCAGCAGCCCCAAGAAGCGACCUGUAGGACUCAGCCUAGCCUUGGAUCAACUCAGCUGUGGAGAUGCCAAGUCCUGCAGGCAAGGGAACAACUCCACCCACUGGCUAAGGCUGGGUAGCUGCUGCUCCAAGUUUGAGUCCACUCUCUUAGGGGAUGUGGUAGAAGAGAUUGUGCUUGUUUUGGGGAGGUUGCCUAUGUAAUUUGGUUGUUAUUACAUCUCUUCAGUAAAUAUGUUAAAUUUAA
Trichosurus vulpecula (common brushtail) is the source of this 500-nucleotide long non-coding RNA. RefSeq lists it as uncharacterized. NCBI's taxonomy places the organism in Eukaryota, Metazoa, Chordata, Mammalia, Diprotodontia, Phalangeridae. The record is from RefSeq and is a predicted model, not a curated record. The transcript has 2 exons.